AACCACUAGCUCUACUGCCUGG
This 22-nucleotide microRNA is filed under the name Capitella teleta. Its description in RNAcentral is "Cte-Mir-34_3p* (star (passenger))". The record is from RNAcentral. Lineage: Eukaryota; Metazoa; Annelida; Polychaeta; Capitellidae.